GCAGCUCCCACCUGUGUUGGCGACAUGGCUGACACCCCCAGAGACGCCAUGCUCAAGCAGACACCUACACCUUAAGAGGAGUUCGGCUACACGGGGAUCGACUCCAUCCUGGAGCAAAUGCGCAGGAAGGCCACGAAGCAGGGCUUUGAGUUCAACGUCAUGGUGGUUGGGCAGAGCUGCUUAGGAAAGCCCACCUUAAUCAACAGCCUCUUCAAGUCCAAAAAUCAGCCGGAAGUCAGUGCAGCCCACGUCAGAGGAGCGCAUCCCCAAAACCCUUGAAAUCAAGUCCAUCACCCACGAUAUCGAGGAGAAGGGGUGCGGAUGAAGCUGACUGUGAUCGUCACACCUGGGUUUGGGGACUACAUCAACGAUAAGAACUGCUGGCAGCCCAUGAUGAAGUUCAUCAACGCCCAGUACGAGAAGUACCUUCAGGAGGAGGUCAACAUCAACUGGAAGAGGCGCAUCCCGACCACUCGCGUCCACUGUUGCCUCUACUUCAUCCCUGCCACCGGCCACUCACUCAGGCCCCUAGACACUGAGUUCAUGAAGCGUCUGAGCAAGAUGGUCAACAUUGUCCUCGUCAUCGCCAAGGCUGGUAUGCUGACCCUGGAGAAGAGGGUCUACUCCAAAUAGCGGAUCUCUGCAGACCUGCUGUCCCACGGCAUCGACGUGUUUGAUGAGGACUCAGAGGACCGACUGGUGAACAAGAAGUUCCAGGAGAUGAUACCAUUUUCUUUGGUGGGCAGUAACCAUGAGUACCAAGUCAAUGGCAAGAGGAUCCUUGGGAGGAAGACCAAGUGGGGCACCAUCGAAGUUGAGAACACCAUGCACUGGGAGAUGGCCUACCUGCGGGAUCUCCUUAUCAGGACGCACAUGCAGAAUAUCAACGACGUCACCUGCAGCAUCCACUUGGAAGCCUGCCUCGUGAAAGAACUCAAUGAGGGCCACAACGCCAUUGCCAACAGGGUCGAGGAGAAGGAGCCAGAAGCCCAGGAGAUGUAG
Molecule: non-coding RNA, 1002 nt
Organism: Castor canadensis (American beaver)
Lineage: Eukaryota; Metazoa; Chordata; Mammalia; Rodentia; Castoridae
Source: RefSeq, a predicted model, not a curated record